Molecule: ribosomal RNA, 952 nt
Filed under: Lepisma sp. WCW-2001
Lineage: Eukaryota; Metazoa; Arthropoda; Insecta; Zygentoma; Lepismatidae
Description: SSU rRNA
Rfam family: Eukaryotic small subunit ribosomal RNA
Source: RNAcentral
CCUGAGAAACGGCUACCACAUCCAAGGAAGGCAGCAGGCGCGCAAAUUACCCACUCCCGGAACGGGGAGGUAGUGACGAAAAAUAACGAUACGGGACUCAUCCGAGGCCCCGUAAUCGGAAUGAUUACACUUUAAAUCCUUUAAAGAGAAUCUAUUGGAGGGCAAGUCUGGUGCCAGCAGCCGCGGUAAUUCCAGCUCCAAUAGCGUAUAUUAAAGUUGUUGCGGUUAAAAAGCUCGUAGUUGGAUCUGGGUCUCGGACGGUCGGUUCGCCGCCCGGCGUUUAACUGACCGGUCCGGACGUCCUGCCGGUUUUCCUUCCUCGGUGCUCUUCAUUGAGUGUCUUGGUGGGGCCGCACGUUUACUUUGAACAAAUUAGAGUGCUYAAAGCAGGCAGUGUCGCCUGAAUGUUCGGUGCAUGGAAUAAUAGAAUAGGACCUCGGUUCUAUUUUGUUGGUUUUCGGAACUUGAGGUAAUGAUUAACAGGGACAGUCGGGGGCAUUAGUAUUGCGCCGUUAGAGGUGAAAUUCUUGGACCGUCGCAAGACUAACCGAUGCGAAAGCAUUUGCCAAGAAUGUUUUCAUUAAUCAAGAACGAAAGUUAGAGGUUCGAAGGCGAUCAGAUACCGCCCUAGUUCUAACCAUAAACGAUGCCAUCUAGCGAUCCGCCGAAGUUCCUCCAAUGACUCGGCGGGCAGCUUCCGGGAAACCAAAGAUUUUGGGUUCCGGGGGAAGUAUGGUUGCAAAGCUGAAACUUAAAGGAAUUGACGGAAGGGCACCACCAGGAGUGGAUCCUGCGGCUUAACUUGACUCAACACGGGAAAACUUACCAGGCCCAGACACUGGAAGGAUUGACAGAUUGAGAGCUCUUUCUUGAUUCAGUGGGUGGUGGUGCAUGGCCGUUUUUAGUUGGUGGAGCGAUUUGUCUGGUUAAUUUCCGAUAACGAACGAGACUC